Molecule: long non-coding RNA, 2142 nt
Filed under: Homo sapiens (human)
Lineage: Eukaryota; Metazoa; Chordata; Mammalia; Primates; Hominidae
Description: HSALNT0321585
Source: RNAcentral
AAGACAGAAGCCAGUCCCUCCCUCGGGCAGACUAUGAAAAGCCUGGAUACAUUAGAUGCAUACUUCCCUCUCUCUUUUUCCUUCAGGGAGAUGUUACAAGACAAGAUGAUUUCACUGGAAGCUGAGUUUUGCCAGCUUUGGGGAAAUGCUGAUGCAGAACAUCAUUUAUUUAAGGCUGAUACUCAUGGAUAGAAGAGUCAAAGUGCGAAUAUAUGCACCCUUCUAUACGGAUUCUGCAGAAAGAUAUGCUUGGGUCAUGACUCAGGUGAAUUUCCUAUGAAACUUUGUCUUUGGUAAAGCAUCCCAUUCUUGGCUGUUCCAUAUAUAUAUAUAUGGGUAUAUUUCUUCCUCUUAAAGUGUACCUUCCCUGGAGCUUCAGCCUAAUGCCUGAGGUCCUCAGUGAGGUCCCUCCAUUCUUCCUAUCUAAGCUGAAACUUCAACAUCUUCAGGAGUGUGUGACACCUGGAAUUUACCUCUCAAUAAAAAUUUUAAACUUCCAACUAAAGAGAUUUCCAAGACCAAAUAGCUUCACGCAUGAAUUCUAUUAUGCAUUAAAUGAAGAAGAAAUAAGAAUCUUAAAUGAAUUCUUAAGAUGAUAAAAAGAUGAAAUAUUAGCCACUUACUAUAUGUGGUGAGCACAAACUUGAUAGCAAAUAUUAACCAUGAUGUGAAGAUUACCAAAAAUUGAAGUUCAGGUAUGAGCACAGAUGCAGAAAUCCUAAACAUAAACAAAAUAAUAAACACCCUGAAUAUAAUAAAAUAAUACAUCAAGACCAAUCUGUAUUUUCUCAAUUAAUACAAGUUUGGUUCAAAAUUUUAAAAUCAAUCAAGGUAAUCUCAGUAGAUACAGAAAAAUAGUUUGUUAAGAUUUAACACCCAUUAAAAAAUUUUAAAGUCUUAUCAAACUGAGAAUGCAAUGGAUCUUUUGAAUGUAAUCAUGGGUAGAGAAAGACAAACAAAAAUAUUGCACUAUAAUUUUAAAGUAUAUCAUGAGGUCAGCAUAGAAACCAGUAUUUUCACAAUGUUAUCGCCAUUUCUAUUUACCAUUGUAGUAGAAGCCCGAGCAAGUGCAACAAUGCAAAAAAAGAGUUUUAAAAUUUAGAUGAAAGAUCACAUACAUAGAAAAUUAAAAAGAUCAUCAAUGAUGUUGGGCACCUUUUCAUAUGCCUGCUUGCCAUUUGUAUGUCUCUUCAUUAUUUUUUUUUAUUUCUUCUAAAAAAAAUGGGACACGUGCAGAACGUACAGGUUUGUUACAUAGUUGUACAUGUGCCAUGGGGAAAUGCAAAUCAAAACUACUCGGAGAUAUCAUCUCAUCCCAGUUAAAAUUGCUUUUAUCCAAAUCUCUUGUAUAAAAGAUAGGCAAUAACAAAUGCUAGCAAGGAUGUGGAGAAAAGGAAACCCUUGUACACCAUUGGUUGGAAUGUGAAUUAGUACAACCACUAUAGAGAACAAUUUUGAAGUUCCUCAAAAAACUAAAAACUGAGCUACCACAUGCACCAGCAAUCCCACUGCUGGAUAUAUCCAAAAGAAAGGGCAUCAGUAUAUUGAAGAGAUAUCUGUACUCCUAUGUUAUUUGCAACACUGUUUACAAUAGAUAAGAUUUGGAAGCAACCUAAGUGUCCAUCAGUAGAUAAAUGGAUCAAGGAAAUGUGGUAAUUAUACACAAUGGAGUACUAUUCUGCCAUAAAAAGAAUGAGAUCUAGUCAUUCGCAACAACAUAGAUGGAAUUGAAGAUCAUACUGUUAAGUGAAAUAAGCCAGGCACAGAAAGACAAACAUUGCAUAUUCUCACUUAUUUGUAGGAACUAAAAAUCAAAACGAUUGAACUCGUGGACACACAGAGUAGAAGGAUGGUUACCAGAGACUGGAAAGAGUAGUUGGGGGUUUGGGGGGAGGUGGAAAUGGUUAAUGGGUACAAAAAUAUAGUUAGAAAGAAUGAGUAAGACCCACUAUUGGUAGAACAACAGGGUGACUAUAAGCAAUAAUAACAAUUGUACAUUUUAAAAUAAUUUAAAAAGCGUAAUUGGAUUGUUUGCAACUCAAAGGAUAAAUGCUUGAAUGGAUGGAUACCCCAUUCUCCAUGAAGUGCUUAUUCCCAUUGCAUUUCUGUAUUAAAACAUCUCAUCUACCCCGUAAACGUAUG